AGAGUUUGAUCCUGGCUCAGGAUGAACGCUAGCGGCAGGCUUAACACAUGCAAGUCGAGGGGUAUGCUUCUUCGGGAGCAGAGACCGGCGCACGGGUGCGUAACGCGUAUGCAAUCUACCUUUUACAGAGGGAUAGCCCAGAGAAAUUUGGAUUAAUACCUCAUAGUAUAUAGACUCGGCAUCGAGAUUAUAUUAAAGUCACAACGGUAAAAGAUGAGCAUGCGUCCCAUUAGCUAGUUGGUAAGGUAACGGCUUACCAAGGCUACGAUGGGUAGGGGUCCUGAGAGGGAGAUCCCCCACACUGGUACUGAGACACGGACCAGACUCCUACGGGAGGCAGCAGUGAGGAAUAUUGGACAAUGGGCGCAAGCCUGAUCCAGCCAUGCCGCGUGCAGGAUGACGGUCCUAUGGAUUGUAAACUGCUUUUGUACAGGAAGAAACACUGGUUCGUGAACCAGCUUGACGGUACUGAAGAAUAGAUCGC
This 484-nucleotide ribosomal RNA is filed under the name Flavobacteriaceae bacterium JJ-1877. RNAcentral's name for it is "bacterial SSU rRNA". It matches the Rfam family "Bacterial small subunit ribosomal RNA", at positions 8 to 493 of the family's 1533-position model. Lineage: Bacteria; Pseudomonadati; Bacteroidota; Flavobacteriia; Flavobacteriales; Flavobacteriaceae. The record is from RNAcentral.